CUUGAUUAAACCAUAAGAGGUCCAGCCUGCCCAGUGACAUUGUUCAACGGCCGCGGUAUCCUAACCGUGCGAAGGUAGCGUAAUCACUUGUCCUUUAAAUGAAGACUAGUAUGAAUGGCCCCACGAAAGCUAUACUGUCUCCUUUUUCUAAUCAGUUAAACUAAUCUCCCCGUGAAGAAGCGGGGAUAAACAUAUAAGACGAGAAGACCCUAUGGAGCUUCAAACAACUGAAACACUUGUAUAUCCUCCCUCACCUGCCAACAUUUAACCUCACAUUUUGUUUCUAGUUUUAGGUUGGGGUGACCACGGAGAAAAAACUAACCUCCACGACGAAAGAGACAUCUCUAAACAAAAAGCUACAUCUUUAUGUAUUAACACAUUAACCUUUAUUGACCCAAUAAAUUGAUCAACGAAC
Molecule: ribosomal RNA, 415 nt
Filed under: Anomaloglossus baeobatrachus group sp. ABGD cluster 2
Lineage: Eukaryota; Metazoa; Chordata; Amphibia; Anura; Aromobatidae
Description: partial large subunit ribosomal RNA
Rfam family: Bacterial large subunit ribosomal RNA
Source: RNAcentral